GCUCGCUUCGGCAGUGCAUAUACUAAAAUUGAAACAAUACAGAAGAUUAGCAUGACCCUGCGCAAGGAUGGCAUGCAAAUUUGUGAGGCGUUCUGUAUUUAA
Molecule: small nuclear RNA, 102 nt
Organism: Ochotona curzoniae (black-lipped pika)
Lineage: Eukaryota; Metazoa; Chordata; Mammalia; Lagomorpha; Ochotonidae
Source: RefSeq, a predicted model, not a curated record